CUGCUGAAGCUGCCAUGUCUAAGAAGAAAGCUUUGGAGAAAAAUUUUCUUCUUAGACAUGGCAGCGUCAACAG
This is a microRNA precursor of Chlorocebus sabaeus (green monkey), 73 nucleotides long. It matches the Rfam family "mir-4659 microRNA precursor family". NCBI's taxonomy places the organism in Eukaryota, Metazoa, Chordata, Mammalia, Primates, Cercopithecidae. The record is from Rfam.